UUAGUCUGGUGCUUCAUUGCACAGGUACUGAGCGUCCACUGCAGAUAUAUAGAAGGUUUCCUUUCUAAGUGACCCUUCAGUACCUUGGUUUCCGAAUUUUUGUACAAGUUAUCUCACCACAAGGCCACACUGAUUGUUCAUCAGAAAGCCUCGGUGUUAUAUUGAAGUUUCCAUCAUGCAUGUAUGAACAAGUUUUGUCGCAUUAUACUGUUUGUAUAAACUACUGUACUUCUCAGCUGCUUGAGAUAAUGAAGACAAGGGAUCAGGAGUAGAUCCAAUCAUCAAACCGGAACAAGGCAACACCUUUAUGGCACGUGACCAAGGCGAUACCUCUGGAAACUAUUUUGCAGACCAAGGCUCAUCCACAGAUAAUCAUGGAGACCAAGACCAAUUUGCUGCAUAUUUUCAUGAUAACCAAGGCCAAUUUUCUGGAUCUCCAGUAUAGGAACAAGGGGGUUUAGGGAUAUAGAGGGAAGAUUGGUUCUGGGGAGUAUUUGUUUAAAAAUUUAACAAUUUGGUUUUGAAUAACCUGGAAUUACAGUAUAGGACUAAUAGGGUCUGGGGAUAUAAAGGGAAGAAGGAUUCUGGGGGGUUGGAGACUAUUUGUAUAACAAUGUAACAGUUUGUUUUCUAAUAAAGAAAGAAACCUACACUUAUCUGCAUAAGGUUUAUUUGUAACAAAGGGCCUGAUUUGAAGUUGGGAAUGCACUGCAGUUGGGGCAGAUGUAAAUUGUGCAGAAAGAUUUAGAUGUAACAAGGGGCAUGCCAAAACUCAGAUUUAAAUUACAGUGUAAUAAUAUAGCUGCCCAACACUUGUGGACUACACACAUAAGCAGCCAGUAUUUACAUAUUACCUAGCAAGCUGCAAAAAAAUCAGGGUACUACUGUGGUAUUUGUCAGUGAAUUUAUACACCCCCAACCUGCUGCAAAAUAAUCUUGUUCAAACUUAUUUCUUACUUCUGAUGAAGCUAGGUGACCGUGCCUAGGGAAACGCGUUAAGUGACAAGCUGCCACCAACAUAUGCAUUCCAUCCUGUGAGGAUCCAGAUAUGGACUUUUAACACGAAUAUUCCUGCCUUGGAAAUUUCUCUGUGGGACUGCAUCAUUACAGCACUAAUUGGAGUUAAUCAGCCUCUGCAUAAAACAUCUCAGCUUGCCUGCUGUUAUUUUCCAAGCUCUUGGAGGACUCCAUCACCAUGGGUAACACCAGCUGUAUUUAAACAACACUAUUCCCCAGGGAACUUUAUUUCUCAGUCCGGGAUCACAUGUGGAUGCAUACUAGCAGCUAUUCUUAUUUUGAUCCUCAGCUUCAAUCUAUGCCCAAUCUUAUUUGUUUUUAAGUGACAUUUUAACUGUUUAGUGAAUAAAUUAUUUACUUGUUUCAAUUCA
This is a long non-coding RNA of Pseudophryne corroboree (corroboree frog), 1388 nucleotides long. RefSeq lists it as uncharacterized. The record is from RefSeq and is a predicted model, not a curated record. The transcript has 4 exons. NCBI's taxonomy places the organism in Eukaryota, Metazoa, Chordata, Amphibia, Anura, Myobatrachidae.